Molecule: ribosomal RNA, 1824 nt
Filed under: Triticum aestivum (bread wheat)
Lineage: Eukaryota; Viridiplantae; Streptophyta; Magnoliopsida; Poales; Poaceae
Description: partial small subunit ribosomal RNA
Source: RNAcentral
AUGGACAGGAUUGUCACCUCCGGGGUGGAAGAGGGGGCGAGUGGCCGCGUCGACGUCUGGGCGCCGCUCUGGCUGCUGCAGGUCUGGCUGUGGGAGCGCUAUGACCGCCUGCAGCCGCCGGAGCUGAAAGCGCCGGAGUUCCCUCUCUCCAAUGUCCGGGCGCUCUAUUGGUCUCGGAGGAGGAGGAAGACCACAGAAGAGGAUGCUUUGCGUGUUCUGCAGCAAGAGGAUUGUUUUGAGUGGAGGCCUUACCUGCGCAAUUCGCUCGACUGGACUGAACCCGAGUGGUUCAGCAAGGAAACUCUCUUGGUGAGCUCCAGAGGUAAGGAUGAGCCAGAGUGGUUGGAGGAUUACAUUGCGAUUACGAGGCAAGCCGUGUUGACUGGAUCGUAUGGCGAUGAUAUGGAUAGUUCGGCAAUGUACAAUCCCCACAUUGUCGCGAGGCAGCUCGGUUAUGAUCAGGAUGUGCCUUUUCCUCUUGUACAUGGGUUUGAUUCCAAGGGGAUCAAGGUGUGGGUACCUGGUAUCUGUAGACGCGGCGUUGCUAGCAAGGAAUAUGUUGCGUGGUUGAAUGGCGAGUUCGUGACGCACCAGGAAGCUGACCGGUGUGUUAGGCCAGUCGACGAAAACGGUGCUGGCUCAUCUCCACUGAAUGCAGAUACAGCAGCUGAUAAAUCUGGAGCAAGUACCAAGCAAGAUAACAGAAAGUGCAUCAGAGAAGGGAAGCAGCUAGCUCAGGAGGAGCUGAUUGUCCUAGACCGUAGUAGUCCAUGUGAUAUGGACUCCAGUGCAACCGCGGUGAAAAGAAAGAAUGGGAACAGAAAAAGACGAGAUGAACUCUCUGAAAAUGGUGAUAUGCACAAGAAAAGUAAGGUACUUACCAGCGAGUGCCAUGAAGGUCUCCAGCAAUAUGACGACGGACCUUCCCUUGCCAGUUAUCCUGAGAAGAAUUCCUUGCAAUUUGACGGCCAGAAGUACCAUGGUCUCCAAAGAGAUCCUAAUUGUUACAUUAAUAGAUGUGAUGAGCUGCCACAGCCUGAGAGUGACGAUGAAUGCAUUGUUCUUGAACCAACAUGUGAAGUGAUAGACCUCGAGGAUGAUCAGGAAGACGAGGACAGGCAACUUGUCCUGGUGCUACAAGAGUUUGUGCGCUGUGGGCUUUUCUCACAACGGGAGGAAAGCUCUGAUGAAGAUGAAGAUGAAGGAGGUGAAGGAAAGAAAGAGACGCCGAAGAAGAGCAAUAUUGACCCUUAUGCUGAAGCAGCCAUGAGGGAGUACCCUCGGUUCUUUGAGUUCAUUCCCCAGAGACCACAUUACAGAGGGUUGGUGAACACCAGUGACACUAUACGAGAUCUGGCCUGUAGUGGACUGUGGUUCAUGUUGGUUGGCUUGGCUAGGGAAGUGCUCAAGACAUCCUGUGAUACAGAAGCUUUGGAGGUUGCAUAUUUGAUGAGAAAAGCUCGGCAACUGGAACAAAAUGGGUUCAAUGUCAAGCAUCUCAUUGCCCGUCUGAGGGAGCCACAGGCCCGGCUUAGAAGGCUUGAGGAUUCCAGGGCAAGGCUCGAGGAUGCCCGGUCCAAAGAGCAAGAACCAAAAGAUGUUAAGUCACUCUCAAGCCAUCUGAGUAAUCUGAAACACAAUGUACUAACAAUGCAGAGGCACUUGGAGGGAAAAAAGCAGGCUCGUAGUGCAUCUGUGCGUGAUGAGUCGAGCGAAGGAAUCGAUCUAGCCAGCCUGGAGAAGGAAGUAGAAGCUGCAGAAAAAUACUGUCAGGCGAUGAAGGAUGAAGUGGCUGCGAUGAGACUGAAAUACGCUGAUCUUUGA